RNAcentral lists this ribosomal RNA (151 nucleotides) under uncultured Peritrichia. RNAcentral's name for it is "partial 28S ribosomal RNA". It matches the Rfam family "Eukaryotic large subunit ribosomal RNA", at positions 190 to 341 of the family's 3401-position model. The record is from RNAcentral. Lineage: Eukaryota; Ciliophora; Oligohymenophorea.
UUGGAAUAGGACGCCAGAGAAGGUGAAAGCCCUGUCUUCGGAUGAGUCGAGGCGAUACGAGAUAUUUCUAAGAGUCGGGUAGUUUGGGAAUGCUGCCCUAAGCGGGAGGUAAACUUCUCCUAAGGCUAAAUAUUUAUAGGAAACCGAUAGC